AUACGUAGGGGGCGAGCGUUGUCCGGAUUUACUGGGCGUAAAGGGUGAGUAGGCGGUUAUAUAUGUCAGGUGUAAAAGGCUAUGGCUUAACCAUGGUUAGCACUUGAAACUGUAUGACUUGAGUGAAGUAGAGGUAAGCGGAAUUCCUGGUGUAGCGGUGAAAUGCGUAGAUAUCAGGAGGAACACCGGUGGCGAAGGCGGCUUACUGGGCUUUUACUGACGCUGAGGUGCGAAAGCGUGGGGAGCGAACAGGAUUAGAUACCCUGGUAGUCCACGCCGUAAACGAUGAUGACUAGGUGUUGGGGAAACUCAGUGCCGCAGUUAACGCAUUAAGUGUCCCGCCUGGGGAGUACGGCCGCAAGGCUAAAACUCAAAGGAAUUGACGGGG
This 388-nucleotide ribosomal RNA is filed under the name uncultured bacterium. RNAcentral describes it as "partial 16S ribosomal RNA". It matches the Rfam family "Bacterial small subunit ribosomal RNA", at positions 523 to 918 of the family's 1533-position model. The record is from RNAcentral.